RNAcentral lists this ribosomal RNA (406 nucleotides) under uncultured bacterium. RNAcentral describes it as "partial 16S ribosomal RNA". It matches the Rfam family "Bacterial small subunit ribosomal RNA", at positions 30 to 526 of the family's 1533-position model. The record is from RNAcentral.
AUUGAACGCUGGCGGCUGGCCUAACACAUGCAAGUCGAGCGAGCGGCGGACGGGCGAGUAAUGUAUGGGGAUCCGCCCGAUAUAGGGGGAUAUCUACUGGAACCGGCGGCUAAUACCGCAUACUCUCGGAUGAACUCAUAUGGGGUUAGCUAGUAGGUGGGUGAAAGGCUCAUCUUGGCGACUAUCUCUAGCUGGUCUGAGAGGAAGAACAGCCACAGUGGGACUGAGACACGGCCCAGACUCCUACGGGAGGCAGCAGUGGGGAAUAUUGCACAGUGGGAGCAAGCCUGAUGCAGCCAUGCCGCGUGUAUGAAGAAGGCCGUAGGGUUGUAAAGAACUUUCAGCCGGGAGGCGUUACCCACAGAAGAAGCACCGGCUAACUCCGUGCCAGCAGCCGCGGUAAUAC